This 253-nucleotide ribosomal RNA is filed under the name uncultured bacterium. RNAcentral describes it as "partial 16S ribosomal RNA". It matches the Rfam family "Bacterial small subunit ribosomal RNA", at positions 524 to 776 of the family's 1533-position model. The record is from RNAcentral.
UACGUAGGCAGCAAGCGUUGUUCGGAGUUACUGGGCGUAAAGGGUGCGUAGGUGGCUCUAUAAGUAUGGUGUGAAAUCUCCCGGCUUAACUGGGAGGGUGCGCCGUAGACUGUGGGGCUAGAGUGUGGGAGAGGAAAGUGGAAUUCCUGGUGUAGCGGUGAAAUUCGUAGAUAUCGGGAGGAACACCGGUGGCGAAGGCGGCGAUCUGGGUCGAUACUGACGCUGAGGUGCGAAAGCGUGGGGAGCAAACAGG